RNAcentral lists this ribosomal RNA (301 nucleotides) under uncultured bacterium. RNAcentral's name for it is "partial 16S ribosomal RNA". It matches the Rfam family "Bacterial small subunit ribosomal RNA", at positions 509 to 808 of the family's 1533-position model. The record is from RNAcentral.
CAGCAGCCGCGGGAAUACGGAGGGUGCAAGCGUUACUCGGAAUCACUGGGCGUAAAGGACGCGUAGGCGGAUUAUCAAGUCUCUUGUGAAAUCUAACGGCUUAACCGUUAAACUGCUUGGGAAACUGAUAAUCUAGAGUAAGGGAGAGGCAGAUGGAAUUCUUGGUGUAGGGGUAAAUCCGUAGAGAUCAAGAAGAAUACCCAUUGCGAAAGCGAUCUGCUGGAACUUAACUGACGCUAAUGCGUGAAAGCGUGGGGAGCAAACAGGAUUAGAUACCCGCGUAGUCCCUGUCUCUUAUACA